Long non-coding RNA from Drosophila mojavensis, 93 nucleotides. RefSeq lists it as uncharacterized. The record is from RefSeq and is a predicted model, not a curated record. Lineage: Eukaryota; Metazoa; Arthropoda; Insecta; Diptera; Drosophilidae. The transcript has 2 exons.
AGAGUGGCAUUUUGUGUAGUGGAAUUGCAGAGAAACUUUCAUGGCAAUCAGCUGUUUAGCCGCAACAAAGGACAAGUUGACUAUUUCAGCAAA